This 486-nucleotide ribosomal RNA is filed under the name uncultured bacterium. Its description in RNAcentral is "partial 16S ribosomal RNA". It matches the Rfam family "Bacterial small subunit ribosomal RNA", at positions 30 to 507 of the family's 1533-position model. The record is from RNAcentral.
AUUGAACGCUGGCGGCAUGCCUUACACAUGCAGGUCGAACGGCAGCACGGGUGCUUGCACCUGGUGGCGAGUGGCGAACGGGUGAGUAAUACAUCGGAACAUGUCCUGUAGCGGGGGAUAGCCCGGCGAAGGCCGGAUUAAUACCGCAUACGAUCUACGGAUGAAAGCGGGGGACCUUCGGGCCUCGCGCUAUAGGGUUGGCCGAUGGCUGAUUAGCUAGUUGGUGGGGUAAAGGCCUACCAAGGCGACGAUCAGUAGCUGGUCUGAGAGGACGACCAGCCACACUGGGACUGAGACACGGCCCAGACUCCUACGGGAGGCAGCAGUGGGGAAUUUUGGACAAUGGGCGAAAGCCUGAUCCAGCAAUGCCGCGUGUGUGAAGAAGGCCUUCGGGUUGUAAAGCACUUUUGUCCGGAAAGAAAUCCUUGGCCCUAAUACGGUCGGGGGAUGACGGUACCGGAAGAAUAAGCACCGGCUAACUACGUG